CCUCCUUUCUAAGGAUGAUUAAGGAUUUUUUCUUAAUCUAAAUAAUAUACAGGUUAAUGUUGACCGUCCUCAUUUCUCUUCUUAAAGUAGUGUUUCUCUUUUCUGCAUAGGGGCCGGUAGCUCAGUUGGUUAGAGCACACCCUUGAUAAGGGUGGGGUCGAAAGUUCGAGUCUUUCUCGGCCCACCAAAUUAAUGGGGGAUUAGCUCAGCUGGGAGAGCGCCUGAUUUGCAUUCAGGAGGUCAGCGGUUCGAUCCCGCUAUCCUCCACCAAGAAACACUUAGUUAUUUAAUUUGUAAAUAUUUUUAUAAUUAUUAUCAAUAUCUGUAUCCGAUUGUUCGAAUAGAUGAACAAUCAUGAAUAUUCGAAUAGAUGAAUAUUCCAACAAAAUUUGAUUCUACACAGAAUUUUUUUCUGUGCAUAAAUCAAGCGUUUAAGGGCGUGUGGCGGAUGCCUUGGCACUGAAAGCCGAUNAAGGACGUGGUAUACUGCGAUAAGUUACGGGGAGCUGUAUGCAAGUUUUGAUCCGUAAAUUCC
RNAcentral lists this unclassified non-coding RNA (535 nucleotides) under uncultured Pelagibacterales bacterium. RNAcentral's name for it is "partial 16S-23S ribosomal RNA intergenic spacer". The stretch from base 422 to 535 matches the Rfam family "Bacterial large subunit ribosomal RNA", at positions 1 to 115 of the family's 2925-position model. The record is from RNAcentral. Lineage: Bacteria; Pseudomonadati; Pseudomonadota; Alphaproteobacteria; Candidatus Pelagibacterales.